GUGGAAGCCGAGACUUAAAGAAGCUAUGAAACUUGAUCAGGUCAUGCAGCGCCAGAGGACCCAAGGUGGGAUCUCAACCCAGACUGUUUGGCUCCAAAGCUGAACUGCUACAUUAUGUUGCUUCAGCAAACAGUCAUUCAGAACCUCAGCUACCGCCGUGACUUUGGGUGCAAACCUGUCUGAAGCCUGUUGGUGAAGCUCUGCCCAGCUAUGAAGAAGCACAGAUCUGCCUGCCUCCCUUGGAAGGCUCAGACUCUUUUUCUGGAAGGCCUACCUUCUCAUCCUUUGGCAGUUGGGGGAACUGAAGCACAGUGAGGGAGAUAAGCGUGCCAUACAAUGAGAGGACAGAGCUCAGCGCUCUUCACUCAUCUGCCUGUGGGAAAGAGCCAGUUCUAGGGGUGGGGAUCAUGAAGGAGCACCCUACUUCCCUGUCCUUGUCACAUCCCAUGGCCAGUAGCCAUGUACUUUUUCCUCCUUUUUCUCUUGCCCAGCAAAUACAGGCUCCAGCUGCAGCCACUUUGAAGAUAAAGUUUCCUCCAUAGAAAUUCUGCAAUACAGAUGUCCUUCCGCGGUCCCCGUUCAGUCCUGCACCAGUUCCUUUUCCCACUGGGAAAUUUCUUUCCUCUUCCUACUUCCAUGCAACUGCGAGGCAAGGCUCAAGCCCACUUCCUUCUCCUUUUCCUGUGUCUCCCUGUGGAAGGAGCUCCCUCUUCUUCACAGCUCCAGGCUCUUCCCUACUCUGGCCCAACCUUAUGGGUAUUUUGCUCCAUAACUCUCCUCAAUCUGAACUGCUUCUGAUUUCUCUCAAGUCAUGUCGGGGAAUCUCACAAAUGCAUUCUGAGAAAUACAAGAAUGCCUGAGAUGUUCUAGGCAGAAAAGAUUCCAGGAUCAAAACAUUUGGGAAAAGCUUCACAUCUCUCCUUAGAAAUGAACAAGGCAUAGUCAUCAAGCAUCUGAAAAGUCCUGCAGUCAGGAAACCUACCUUGUUUGUUUUUUAACCCAGUAUUUCCCAAACUAAGAUGGCCAUGAUUUCAUCUCCUCCAUCCCCACUGACUCCUAUAACAACAUGUAGAACCAGCGAUCCACUGUGGAACACACUUUGGGAAACACUGUCCCCAGCCCUCCAAGAAGGCAUAGAGUUGACCUUGCCUUCAUUGAUUUAAACCCUUCCUGUUUCUCUGGGCUAUUUACUUAUUAUCUCACAUACAAAAUAAUCUAAGGUGAUGUCUGCCCAAUUGGAUUUUUAGGAAAGACAUACCCGAUGGGAAUGAAGAUUUUCUUAGCAGGAUUUGAUGAGCCCA
RNAcentral lists this long non-coding RNA (1301 nucleotides) under Pan troglodytes (chimpanzee). Its description in RNAcentral is "long non-coding RNA NONPTRT000908". The record is from RNAcentral. Lineage: Eukaryota; Metazoa; Chordata; Mammalia; Primates; Hominidae.